UAGGGAAUAUUGGACAAUGGGGGCAACCCUGAUCCAGCCAUGCCGCGUGAGUGAAGAAGGCCCUCGGGUUGUAAAGCUCUUUUGUCCGGAAAGAAAAGCAUUCGGUGAAUACCCGGAUGUUCUGACGGUACCGGAAGAAUAAGCACCGGCUAACUUCGUGCCAGCAGCCGCGGUAAUACGAAGGGUGCAAGCGUUACUCGGAAUUACUGGGCGUAAAGCGUGCGGAGGUGGUUGUUUAAGUCUGAUGUGAAAGCCCUGGGCUCAACCUGGGAAUGGCAUUGGAAACUGGGCAGCUAGAGUGCGGUAGAGGGUAGUGGAAUUCCUGGUGUGGCAGUGAAAUGCGUAGAGAUCAGGAGGAACAUCCGUGGCGAAGGCGACUGCCUGGGCCAACACUGACACUGAGGCACGAAAGCGUGGGGAGCAAACA
RNAcentral lists this ribosomal RNA (427 nucleotides) under uncultured bacterium. Its description in RNAcentral is "bacterial SSU rRNA". It matches the Rfam family "Bacterial small subunit ribosomal RNA", at positions 355 to 774 of the family's 1533-position model. The record is from RNAcentral.